GGUGCUUGCACCUUUCAAGUGAGUGGCGAACGGGUGAGUAACACGUGGACAACCUGCCUCAAGGCUGGGGAUAACAUUUGGAAACAGAUGCUAAUACCGAAUAAAACUUAGUGUCGCAUGACACAAAGUUAAAAGGCGCUUCGGCGUCACCUAGAGAUGGAUCCGCGGUGCAUUAGUUAGUUGGUGGGGUAAAGGCCUACCAAGACAAUGAUGCAUAGCCGAGUUGAGAGACUGAUCGGCCACAUUGGGACUGAGACACGGCCCAAACUCCUACGGGAGGCUGCAGUAGGGAAUCUUCCACAAUGGGCGAAAGCCUGAUGGAGCAACGCCGCGUGUGUGAUGAAGGCUUUCGGGUCGUAAAGCACUGUUGUAUGGGAAGAACAGCUAGAAUAGGAAAUGAUUUUAGUUUGACGGUACCAUACCAGAAAGGGACGGCUAAAUACGUGCCAGCAGCCGCGGUAAUACGUAUGUCCCGAGCGUUAUCCGGAUUUAUUGGGCGUAAAGCGAGCGCAGACGGUUUAUUAAGUCUGAUGUGAAAGCCCGGAGCUCAACUCCGGAAUGGCAUUGGAAACUGGUUAACUUGAGUGCAGUAGAGGUAAGUGGAACUCCAUGUGUAGCGGUGGAAUGCGUAGAUAUAUGGAAGAACACCAGUGGCGAAGGCGGCUUACUGGACUGCAACUGACGUUGAGGCUCGAAAGUGUGGGUAGCAAACAGGAUUAGAUACCCUGGUAGUCCACACCGUAAACGAUGAACACUAGGUGUUAGGAGGUUCCGCCUCUUAUGCCGAGCUAAGCAUUAGUGUUCCCCUGGGGAGUCNACCCCAGGUUGAACUCAAGGAUUGANGGACCNCCAGCGGGGACAUGUG
Molecule: ribosomal RNA, 865 nt
Filed under: Leuconostoc mesenteroides
Lineage: Bacteria; Bacillati; Bacillota; Bacilli; Lactobacillales; Lactobacillaceae
Description: bacterial SSU rRNA
Rfam family: Bacterial small subunit ribosomal RNA
Source: RNAcentral